GGCCUCGUGCUCUAGUGGGUAUGAUUCUCGCUUUCGGGUGCGAGAGGUCCCGGGUUCGAUUCCUGGGUGAGGGCC
Molecule: non-coding RNA, 75 nt
Organism: Phytophthora infestans T30-4
Lineage: Eukaryota; Oomycota; Peronosporomycetes; Peronosporales; Peronosporaceae
Source: the annotation of a RefSeq genome assembly